AUUGAACGCUGGCGGCAGGCCUAACACAUGCAAGUCGAACGGUAGCACAGAGAGCUUGCUCUCGGGUGACGAGUGGCGGACGGGUGAGUAACGUCUGGGAAACUGCCCGAUGGAGGGGGAUAACUACUGGAAACGGUAGCUAAUACCGCAUAACGUCGCAAGACCAAAGUGGGGGACCUUCGGGCCUCACACCAUCGGAUGUGCCCAGAUGGGAUUAGCUAGUAGGUGGGGUAAUGGCUCACCUAGGCGACGAUCCCUAGCUGGUCUGAGAGGAUGACCGGCCACACUGGAAAUGAGACACGGUCCAGACUCCUACGGGAGGCAGCAGUGGGGAAUAUUGCACAAUGGGCGCAAGCCUGAUGCAGCCAUGCCGCGUGUAUGAAGAAGGCCUUCGGGUUGUAAAGUACUUUCAGCGGGGAGGAAGGCGGUGAAGUUAAUAGCUUCACCGAUUGACGUUACCCGCAGAAGAAGCACCGGCUAACUCCGUGCCAGCCGCCGCAGUAA
RNAcentral lists this ribosomal RNA (504 nucleotides) under uncultured bacterium. Its description in RNAcentral is "partial 16S ribosomal RNA". It matches the Rfam family "Bacterial small subunit ribosomal RNA", at positions 30 to 523 of the family's 1533-position model. The record is from RNAcentral.